GAUGAACGCUGGCGGCGUGCCUAAUACAUGCAAGUCGAGCGAACGGACGAGAAGCUUGCUUCUCUGAUGUUAGCGGCGGACGGGUGAGUAACACGUGGAUAACCUACCUAUAAGACUGGGAUAACUUCGGGAAACCGGAGCUAAUACCGGAUGAUAUUUUGAACCGCAUGGUUCAAAAGUGAAAGACGGUCUUGCUGUCACUUAUAGAUGGAUCCGCGCUGCAUUAGCUAGUUGGUAAGGUAACGGCUUACCAAGGCAACGAUGCAUAGCCGACCUGAGAGGGUGAUCGGCCACACUGGAACUGAGACACGGUCCAGACUCCUACGGGAGGCAGCAGUAGGGAAUCUUCCGCAAAGGGCGAAAGCCUGACGGAGCAACGCCGCGUGAGUGAUGAAGGUCUUCGGAUCGUAAAACUCUGUUAUUAGGGAAGAACAUAUGUGGAAGUAACUGUGCACAUCUUGACGGUACCUAAUCAGAAAGCCACGGCUAACUACGUG
This 497-nucleotide ribosomal RNA is filed under the name uncultured bacterium. Its description in RNAcentral is "partial 16S ribosomal RNA". It matches the Rfam family "Bacterial small subunit ribosomal RNA", at positions 28 to 507 of the family's 1533-position model. The record is from RNAcentral.